CGUGGCUCAGUUCAGAUCGUAGGCUGCAACUCGCCUACGUGAAGUAGGAAUCGCUAGUAAUCGCAGGUCAGCAUACUGCGGUGAAUACGUUCCCGGGCCUUGUACACACCGCCCGUCACACCAUGGAAGUUGGCCAUGCCCGAAGUCGUUACUCCAACCCUUGUGGAGGAGGACGCCGAAGGUGGGGCUAAUGACUGGGGUGAAGUCGUAACAAGGUAGCCGUACCGGAAGGUGCGGCUGGAUCACCUCCUAACAGGGAGACAACAAAAUGUUUAAUAUUAAUUUUGUCACCUUAGGUCGAUCGGUAUCUCACGUUCUUAAUUUAUUAAGGAUUUUAUUUCCUAAGUUUUUUCUAGGUCACACCCAUUACUUUCCCUGGGCCAUUAGCUCAGGUGGUUAGAGCGCACCCCUGAUAAGGGUGAGGUCCCUGGUUCAAGUCCAGGAUGGCCCAUAUCUCUAUGUUGGGGGUAUAGCUCAGUUGGUAGAGCGCCUGCUUUGCAAGCAGGAUGUCAGCGGUUCGAGUCCGCUUACCUCCACUGAUUACCACCUCUUCCAUAUGUUAUGAAGGGAAUCGUUUUGAGCUGUGAUUACAAUCUGAACGAAUCUAGCUUCCUAAUUAAAUUUAUUAAGAUGCUGGACUCAUUGAAUUAAUUUCAUUGUUUUCAGAGAACCUUGACAACUGCAUAGAUUAUUUUAAAGACAAUAAGCAUCUUUAAUGAUGCAGAUUUAUUAUUUGUGCGA
Molecule: unclassified non-coding RNA, 741 nt
Filed under: uncultured Prochlorococcus sp.
Lineage: Bacteria; Bacillati; Cyanobacteriota; Cyanophyceae; Synechococcales; Prochlorococcaceae
Description: partial contains 16S ribosomal RNA and 16S-23S ribosomal RNA intergenic spacer
Rfam family: Bacterial small subunit ribosomal RNA (bases 1-253)
Source: RNAcentral